Molecule: ribosomal RNA, 253 nt
Filed under: uncultured bacterium
Lineage: Bacteria
Description: partial 16S ribosomal RNA
Rfam family: Bacterial small subunit ribosomal RNA
Source: RNAcentral
UACGGAGGGGGCUAGCGUUGUUCGGAAUUACUGGGCGUAAAGCGCGCGUAGGCGGACCUGCAAGUCGGGGGUGAAAGCCCGAGGCUCAACCUCGGAACUGCCUUCGAUACUGCGGGUCUCGAGUCCGGGAGAGGUGAGUGGAAUUCCUAGUGUAGAGGUGAAAUUCGUAGAUAUUAGGAAGAACACCAACGGCGAAAGCACUCUGCUGGGCCGACACUGACACUGAGAGACGAAAGCUAGGGGAGCGAAUGGG